Molecule: ribosomal RNA, 524 nt
Filed under: uncultured bacterium
Lineage: Bacteria
Description: partial 16S ribosomal RNA
Rfam family: Bacterial small subunit ribosomal RNA
Source: RNAcentral
AAUGAACGCUGGCGGCAUGCCUAACACAUGCAAGUCGAGCGCAGGAAACUGACGGAACUCUUCGGAGGGAAGGCAGUGGAAUGAGCGGCGGACGGGUGAGUAACACGUAAGGAACCUGCCUCAAGGAUUGGGAUAACUCCGAGAAAUCGGAGCUAAUACCGGAUAGUUCAACGGACCGCAUGGUCCGCUGAUGAAAGGCGCUUCGGCGUCACCUUGAGAUGGCCUUGCGGUGCAUUAGCUAGUUGGUGGGGUAACGGCCCACCAAGGCGACGAUGCAUAGCCGACCUGAGAGGGUGAUCGGCCACACUGGGACUGAGACACGGCCCAGACUCCUACGGGAGGCAGCAGUAGGGAGUCUUCCACAAUGGACGAAAGUCUGAUGGAGCAACGCCGCGUGAGUGAUGAAGGUUUUCGGAUCGUAAAACUCUGUUGUAAGGGAAGAACACGUACGAGAGGGAAUGCUCGUACCUUGACGGUACCUUACGAGAAAGCCACGGCUAACUACGUGCCAGCCGCCGCCGUAA